UGACUCAUCUCGGUAGCUAUUUUCAUUUCACCAUGGAUUGCACAGGACGAGAGUAAUGCUCUCCAGAUCGCAACAUCAGGCUUGAAAGGCAUUGUCUUGGCUAAUUGUGCGGCAUCCUCCAGUUGUCCAUUUCGACCCAAUGCAAGAACUACACAAGUAUAAUGCUCCAGUUUAGGUUCCACCUCGUAUUCUGAACUCAUGCAAUUAAGCCAUUUCUCAGCCUCAAGACUCAAACCUGCAUUACUACAAGCAGUGAGAAUUGCAAGAAAACUGAAUUCAUCAGCAAGAACCCCGUUCUGUUUCAUACAAUCAAACAAUCCAAUCACUGAAUUCACAUCCCCUUGUUGGGCAUAAGCCGCCAUCAUUGCAUUCCACCCAACAAUAUUCACAUCCCCCAACAUUUCAUCAAAACCACGAUGCGCAUCUGAAACAAUCCCUGAUUUUCCAUACCCAUCAAUCAAUGCAGUUCCCACAACAACACUUGAAUCAAGCCCUGUAACAAUACUAUGGGCAUGCAUUAUCCUACAUUGUUCAAGUGCAGCUAGUUCAGCCGCAGCACAAAGCGCACCAGACACACUGUACGGACUAGACUUUGCAUUGUCAUACAACAUAUCAGAAAACACAGAUAGAGCUUGGGUCGAUUGAGAAUUUUGCGCAAGACCAACAAUUAUAGCCCCAUAACAAACUUCAUCUCUUUCAGACAUUCUAUCAAACACCUUGACAGCUUCAUAAGGCAUGUUACAUUUUGAGUAAAAACUAACUAAAGCAGAACCAGUGAAAGGUAAGUAAGAAAGACAGAGUUUCAGAGAAAGGGAAUGAACUUGAAGACCAAAGGGGAGAGAAGAGAGAGAUGCGCAGGUUUUGAUGAGAGAGGUUAACGUGCGUUGAUUGGGCACUGUAGGAUGACGGAGCAUGGAAACAAAAUGAUGAAGAGACAAGUUGGUGUUGGCGUAUCCAGAGAUCAGAGCCGUCCAUGAGACUACAUUGGGAUAUUGAAUUUGAUGAAAAACACGGAGAGCGUCAGAAAGUAGAUUUGAUUUGGAAUAUUCGGUGAUGAGAUUGUUGAAUAGAAAUCGAUCUUUGUUGGCAGUUUUAAUAAGUUGCGCGUGGGUGCACCGUGGAUCGCUUGUUUUUAAAAUUUCUUCCAUGUAAACACACGAAUACAACUCACUCUCCUUUGAGAUGGUGCUUUUGUUGCUCACUUGCUCCGUUGCUCGCUCAAAGCAACAAAAUGACAAAAUCAGGUCAGAAAUGGGCUGAUCUUGCAAAACAAUAUCUAGCCCAAAUUGAUUAGGCCCAAAUAUAAUUUAAUUAAUUAUUAAUGAAUUGCACCCAUGUUCAUGUAAUCUUGUUCAGCUGAUGGCCCGAUGCUCUUGUUUAGUGAACUUAUCUUGGGUGCACCAUGGCAUCUUUGGAUGAGAACGGUGCCAUUAGUGCAAUUCAUUGAAGUGUUUGUUCAAUGUUCAUCAGCAUUCUUGUAAAGUACUAUGGAAGUUGUACUGUACAUUAUUUGACUGCCAAUGUCACCAUAUAAAGCAGUGCAGAUCAACAAUAUCUUUGUCUUACACAUAUACUAGUGGUGGUGAAGAAUAUAAGGAUUUGUAGGGACUGUCAUGAGGCUUUCAAGUAUAUGAGCAGAGUCAUCGAGAGGGAGAUUGUUGUGAGAGAUGUUAAUAGAUAUCACAGAUUUAUGGAUGGGAGUUGCACCUGUAGAGACUACUGGUGAUAUGUGCAUUGCAACUCUUGUGGAAAGCUUCUUGAAAUAUUUUUCAGGUAACAUACAUGAAUAUCCUGAGUUCCUGACAACACCUACAAUACUCUAUUCGGGGUCUAAAAAGAAGUCAGAAAUGAAUUAGGAUGUAUCUGAAAAGUGAAAACACAUGCAGAAAUAACAAACCAAAAUGCAUUCACUCACCAAGGUAUAAUUAGCCACAAAGAAGAUAGUUGAAGUUCAUUGAGUUAUCCUUUCAGGAUACACUAUAAAUCUGUAAUAACUUUGUGCACCAAAGCAGCGUGGAUAUUUGCAAGGAUUACAUAUGCCGAAUCAUCUUGUAAGUUGUUCUCCAAUAAUUUCUGACUCAUCUCGGUAGCUAUUUUUAUUUCACCAUGGAUUGCACAGGACGAGAGUAAUGCUCUCCAGAUCGCAGCAUCAGGCUUGAAAGGGAUUGUCUUGGCUAAUUGUGCGGCAUCCUCUAGUUGUCCAUUUCGACCCAAUGCAAGAACUACACAAGUAUAAUGCUCCAGUUUAGGUUCCACCCCGUAUUCUGAACUCAUGCAAUUAAGCCAUUUCUCAGCCUCAAGACUCAAACCUGCAUUACUACAAGCAGUGAGAAUUGCAAGAAAACUGAAUUCAUCAGCAAGAACCCCGUUCUGUUUCAUACAAUCAAACAAUCCAAUCACUGAAUUCACAUCCCCUUGUUGGGCAUAAGCCGCCAUCAUUGCAUUCCACCCAACAAUAUUCACAUCCACCAACAUUUCAUCAAAAACACGACGCGCAUCUGAAACAAUCCCUGAUUUUCCAUACCCAUCAAUCAAUGCAUUUCCCACAACAACACUUGAAUCAAGCCCUGUAACAAUACUAUGGGCAUGCAUUAUCCUACAUUGUUCAAGUGCAGCUAGGGCUGGCAAUGGACCGGUUCGGACCGGAUAUUAGAAAUACCAUACCCGAACCAAUAAAAAAACUAAUAAUCCCGGACCCGGAACCAGACCCUAUCGGGUCCGAAAGUAAGUAACCAUACCCGUACCAAAUCUUAUUGGAUCGGAUCCGGGUUGGAUUCGGGUAUUUUAACCAUGAAUUGAGAUGUCAAAAUUAUGUAUACAAAUUUAGAAAAAAUGAGUUACUUUUUAAGAAUCUAGAUAUAUUUAGUAAAUAUAUAUUAUCAAGUAUAAAAAUAUAGUAUAUGAAUAUAUGAUUUUAUUUAUUUCUAUGUUUCUAAUGUAAUUGCAUAUACUUAUAAGGUAAUUAGUAUUAAAAAAGUUAUUUACAAAAAUCAAAUUUCUAAAAUUUAGGAUUUUUAUGAUAUGUUAAUAAUGGUAGUGAAUCUAAAAUAUUCGAAACCUCAAAAUAAUUUAUAUCGGGUCCAUAUCGGUUCGGUAUCUACUAAUUCCAAACCCGGUCCAAUAACAAUCGGGUCCUAAUUUUAAGAACCAGACUCGUACCAAUACAUAAAAGUGCAAUACCAAACCCGUUCUUAUCGGUACGGAUCGGACCGGGUUUCGGGUCUAACCCGUACCAUUGCCAGCCCUAAGUGCAGCUAGUUCAGCCGCAGCACAAAGCGCACCAGACACACUGUACGGACUAGACUUUACAUUGUCAUACAACAUAUCAGAAAACACAGAUAAAGCUUGGGUCGAUUGAGAAUUUUGCGCAAGACCAACAAUUAUAGCCCCAUAACAAACUUCAUCUCUUUCAGACAUUCUAUCAAACACCUUGACAGCUUCAUAAGGCAUGUUACAUUUUGAGUAAAAACUAACUAAAGCAGAACCAGUGAAAGGUAAGUAAGAAAGACAGAGUUUCAGAGAAAGGGAAUGAACUUGAAGACCAAAGGGGAGAGAAGAGAGAGAUGCGCAGGUUUUGACGAGAGAGGUUAACGUGCGUUGAUUGGGCACUGUAGGAUGACGGAGCAUGGAAACAAAAUGAUGAAAAGACAAGUUGGUGUUGGCGUAUCCAGAGAUCAGAGCCGUCCAUGAGACUACAUUGGGAUAUUGAAUUUGAUGAAAAACACGGAGAGCGUCAGAAAGUAGAUUUGAUUUGGAAUAUUCGGUGAUGAGAUUGUUGAAUAGAAAUCGAUCUUUGUUGGCAGUUUUAAUAAGUUGCGCGUGGGUGCACCGUGGAUCGCUUGUUUUUAAAAUUUCUUCCAUGUAAACACACGAAUACAACUCACUCUCCUUUGAGAUGGUGCUUUUGUUGCUCACUUGCUCCGUUGCUCGCUCAAAGCAACAAAAUGACAAAAUCAGGUCAGAAAUGGGCUGAUCUUGCAAAACAAUAUCUAGCCCAAAUUGAUUAGGCCCAAAUAUAAUUUAAUUAAUUAUUAAUGAAUUGCACCCAUGUUCAUGUAAUCUUGUUCAGCUGAUGG
RNAcentral lists this long non-coding RNA (4076 nucleotides) under Aquilegia coerulea. RNAcentral describes it as "long non-coding RNA (ACOE_LNC000411)". Lineage: Eukaryota; Viridiplantae; Streptophyta; Magnoliopsida; Ranunculales; Ranunculaceae. The record is from RNAcentral.